This 483-nucleotide ribosomal RNA is filed under the name uncultured bacterium. Its description in RNAcentral is "partial 16S ribosomal RNA". It matches the Rfam family "Bacterial small subunit ribosomal RNA", at positions 28 to 523 of the family's 1533-position model. The record is from RNAcentral.
GAUGAACGCUGGCGGCGUGCUUAACACAUGCAAGUCGAACGGAAAGGCCAGUACUUGCACUGGUACUCGAGUGGCGAACGGGUGAGUAACACGUGGGUGAUCUGCCCUGCACUUCGGGAUAAGCCUGGGAAACUGGGUCUAAUACCGGAUAGGACCACAUUUUGGAUGGUGUGGUGGAAAGUUUUUCGGUGUGGGAUGAGCUCGCGGCCUAUCAGCUUGUUGGUGGGGUAAUGGCCUACCAAGGCGUCGACGGGUAGCCGGCCUGAGAGGGUGUACGGCCACAUUGGGACUGAGAUACGGCCCAGACUCCUACGGGAGGGAGCAGUGGGGAAUAUUGCACAAUGGGAGCAAGCCUGAUGCAGCGACGCCGCGUGGGGGAUGACGGCCUUCGGGUUGUAAACUCCUUUCGCUAGGGACGAAGCGUAUUUGUGACGGUACCUGGAGAAGAAGCACCGGCUAACUACGUGCCAGCAGCCGCCGUAA